UACAGAGGUCCCAAGCGUUGUUCGGAUUCACUGGGCGUAAAGGGUGCGUAGGUGGUGAGGUAAGUCGGAUGUGAAAUCUCCGGGCUCAACCCGGAAACUGCAUUGGAAACUACCUUGCUUGAGGAUUUGAGGGGGGAUUGGAAUACUUGGUGUAGCAGCGAAAUGCGUAGAUAUCAAGUGGAACACCAGUGGCGAAGGCGAAUCCCUGGAAAAUACCUGACACUGAGGCACGAAAGCUAGGGGAGCAAACAGG
This 253-nucleotide ribosomal RNA is filed under the name uncultured bacterium. RNAcentral's name for it is "partial 16S ribosomal RNA". It matches the Rfam family "Bacterial small subunit ribosomal RNA", at positions 524 to 776 of the family's 1533-position model. The record is from RNAcentral.